Xyrichtys novacula (pearly razorfish) is the source of this 340-nucleotide non-coding RNA. The record is from the annotation of a GenBank genome assembly. Lineage: Eukaryota; Metazoa; Chordata; Actinopteri; Labriformes; Labridae.
UGAUAGUGAAGAAGGCACUUGAACAGAGCCCUGUGCUUUCUGGCAUCCGGGCUAAAGCAAGGAAGCUAGUUAGCUUCUUUAGAAGCAGCACCACUGCUAAGGUAUGGUCAUUCCCUUUAUUCCAAUUUAUUAAAACAUUAAUAGUUUGUGUUCUUUCUGCAGCUAUUUAAUGGCCUACUCAUCUGUGUCUUUAAAGGAGAAGCUUACACAGGUGCAGGUUCAGCUGGGGAUGGCAACAAUGAAGCGAAAACAAGAAGUGGAAACCCGGUGGAAUAGCACAUAUUUGAUGCUGCAACGUUUGGAGGAGUUGAGGGAGCCAGUUGGAGCAGCGUUAGCUGGG